Molecule: non-coding RNA, 2123 nt
Organism: Poecilia reticulata (guppy)
Lineage: Eukaryota; Metazoa; Chordata; Actinopteri; Cyprinodontiformes; Poeciliidae
Source: RefSeq, a predicted model, not a curated record
UUGGUUUAAAAUGGGAUGGUAAGAUACUGCAGUUUAUCAGUGACUUUUCUAAAGGGUGCAAACGUAUUGUAAUAGAAAACUGCAAGAGAAAAAACACGGAUGUGUUGCUGUCGCUGUCCUCUCAGGCUGCUCUCUGCAGCCAUGUGGCGCAGCGCAGAGAUGUUCUCCGUUACAAAACCCUCGGUGAGUUUGUGAUGCUGGUGACGGACACGGUGCCGGACCUGCUCGAUGCAAAGCAGAAAGGCAAGUUACUGCUGCGACUGCGAGCCGGAGUUAUUUUUGAGUUGUGCAGAAGUGCAGAAACAGCCAAACUUAAAGUUCAUGUCAGUAACAUCUAUGUCAAUGAUUCAAUUCAGGACAGAGAAUCAGCCAGGCAGAAAUUCACAGAGCCAAGAGCACUUUCUAUAAAAACAAAAGGAGCACACUAAGCUAAUGGUAACUGGUUCCGCUAACGGCUUUGUCCAGGCAAGAGACAAAGCUAAAGACAAGUCUGUGAGUCAACACAGUUAACGGCAGCAAUGACUCCAUGCAGGUGCAACAGUUGAGAUGUCCACCCAGGUCUUCUCCUGCUCUGAGUGUCCGUUUUUCCACAUGCAGGAGUCGUUCCUCCUGCAGCGCAUCAUGUAACUCAUGUAAAGCACUUUGAAUUGAAUUGCUUUGUUGCUGAAAAUGUGCUAUAUAAAUAAAAUUACCAUCACCACAUCGAGCACAGUCACCCAGAGCAGAACAACAAACUCCAGGUGACCGCAAAGAAGACUCCGGCCCCACAGCCCUUCCCCAUCCACGACAGGCCGGAUCCUCAUACGUGCCCGGACUGUGGCAAGACGUUCAGGUGGGCCUCAGAUGUGACUUGUCACCAGCGCACCCACACGGGUGAGCUGAGAGGAAUGCAGCAAGGCCUUUAAGAACUCCUGGGAUCUGACGAGACAUCAACGCGUCCACACCAGAGAGCGUCCCUUCCUCUGUUCCCAGAGCGGCAAACGCUUCACCCAGAUGGGGUUCCUCAGGCUGCAUUUUGACCGCACCGCAUGCAGCUGGACCUGCAACUCUCUGCUGGACUUAAUCAGGGGGGCGGUGGACACAGAGGAGACUCCCUGCAAAGAAGGCAGGGAGUACAAGUGCCAGAAGUGCGGCGAGGGCUUCAGCAGCAUCUUGGAGCGCCUGAGGCACAGGCAGGCGCACGUGGUGAGGCGGCAGUACAGAUGCUCCCAGUGCGAGAAGAUCUACAGCCGCGCCUCGGACCUCAAGAGGCACCAGAUGAAAUACAGCAGAUAAAACAGAAUUUGUCAGGUCUGAAUGAGUGUGAAAUUUUAAAAGAAUAUGGAAUAAUGUUAUUUCCAGACUUUAUUUCCUAUCCCAUUGUCUGAAGACUGUAUCCUCCAUCUGUGUUUAGCCACCAUCUAUUAAUUAUCUACCACUUUCCUUCUUCCUCUUCGUCCAUCUGGUCUGCUGAAAUCUGAGCAGAUCUGUGUUGAAAAUGUGCAGGAUCCCAUUAUUAAGGUAGGGUGUACUUCAGAACUACAGUACUUAAAAACAUGUCAGUGUUUGGUGAUGCCACACGCAGGCUAGUAGAAAUAAAGAGCAAGUUCUGUUUGGCACUUCUUUUCCGUCAAAAUCUGGAUGAACUUCAGAGGCAUAAAGGACUUAAAGUCAUUAGCUAUUUUUACUUACAGUUGAAGGAAACUUGGCUCAAUGAGCUUUUGUUUGGCUCAGUGGUCAACCCUCUCUUUCAGAUUUCUGUUCAGAUUAAUCUCACUACAAAUAAGGAAAGUGUCGGCACUGUAAGUGAAACAUUUUUUCCACAGUGCUGCAUGUGGUUUUGUAGACAUGCAGGUAGUUGGACAAUUCUCCCUGCAUAUGCUCGUAGUGUUGCAAUAGCCAGAGGCUGCUCCCGUCACAUCACAAGACAACCGCAAUCAAAAAGCACUGACUUUAUAUCAACUAUUUUCACGAGAAAGUAUUAACAUCAACAUUUAGCUUCCACUUGUUUCUUAAAGACUAAUUCAUAGCAUGCUACUUUAAAAAUAGUGAGUCUGUGCACAACCCAUGUCUUACUCCAAGCUCAUCUCAAAAGCUGGCGAGUUUGUUGGAAAUAGUUUAAUGAAGAAAUAGACACAUCAAGA